This 74-nucleotide small RNA is filed under the name Klebsiella indica. RNAcentral describes it as "PyrD leader". It matches the Rfam family "PyrD leader". Lineage: Bacteria; Pseudomonadati; Pseudomonadota; Gammaproteobacteria; Enterobacterales; Enterobacteriaceae. The record is from RNAcentral.
AUUCCCUUUCCGCGAUGGAUAGCACAUAAUACGCCCCCGGUUUGCACACCGGGAAUCCAGGAGAGUUCAUGUAC